RNAcentral lists this ribosomal RNA (209 nucleotides) under uncultured Pseudomonas sp. RNAcentral's name for it is "partial 16S ribosomal RNA". It matches the Rfam family "Bacterial small subunit ribosomal RNA", at positions 1174 to 1382 of the family's 1533-position model. Lineage: Bacteria; Pseudomonadati; Pseudomonadota; Gammaproteobacteria; Pseudomonadales; Pseudomonadaceae. The record is from RNAcentral.
UGGGGAUGACGUCAAGUCAUCAUGGCCUUACGGCCUGGGCUACACACGUGCUACAAUGGUCGGUACAAAGGGUUGCCAAGCCGCGAGGUGGAGCUAAAUCCCAUAAAACCGAUCGUAGUCCGGAUCGCAGUCUGCAACUCGACUGCGUGAAGUCGGAAUCGCUAGUAAUCGUGAAUCAGAAUGUCACGGUGAAUACGUUCCCGGGCCUU